AAGAUUAUACCAACAUUGAUGUUACGAAUUUUUCAGGACAGAACUGUGUCGUUUCAAUGGUGCUAAGAUAUACCCAGGAAAGGGUAUCAGAUUUGUGAGACCUGAUUCCCAGGUGUUCCUCUUCUCCAACUCAAAAUGCAAGCGCUAGUUCCAUAACCGGUUUAAGCCUUCCAAGCUUACCUGGACGGCUAUGUAUAGGAAGCAACACAAGAAGGAAAAGAGACAGCUAUUUUGAUUAUGAGAUGUUUUCAUGCUUGUACAAGAAUUCUCAUGGCUGGAAGGAAUUUGCAAUGGGGAGGUUACAUUCAAAUCAUUCCCCCUGAACUUAUAUUUGCCUACAUUAAAUCUUUGAAAAUUUAGAUUUGGCUUAGAUCCAAAGUUGAUUUUGAUGGAUUGCAGAAUCUAUGUUUUGAAUCUGUUGCUUUCCAAAGUUGAUUUUGAUGGAUUGCAGAAUCUAUGUUUUGAAUCUGUUGCUUUUCAAAGUUGAUUUUGAUGGAUUGCAGAAUCUAUGUUUUGAAUCUG
This is a long non-coding RNA of Magnolia sinica, 522 nucleotides long. RefSeq lists it as uncharacterized. The transcript has 3 exons. Lineage: Eukaryota; Viridiplantae; Streptophyta; Magnoliopsida; Magnoliales; Magnoliaceae. The record is from RefSeq and is a predicted model, not a curated record.